Molecule: small RNA, 514 nt
Filed under: Pongo abelii (Sumatran orangutan)
Lineage: Eukaryota; Metazoa; Chordata; Mammalia; Primates; Hominidae
Description: retained intron
Source: RNAcentral
AUUUUUGUAUUUUUUUUUUUUAGUAGAGACGGGGUUUCGCCAUGUUGGUCAGGCUGGUCUCAAACUCCUGAGCUCGUGAUCCACUCACCUCGGUCUCCCAAAGUGCUGGGAUUACAGGCGUGAGCCACCGCGCCCGGCAUCCCUGUACCUUUCUAAAUGGGGGCGAGUUGAGGCUGUCUGAAUCCCAGCCCAUCCAGCCCAUCAUUCAAGUCAGUCCUAGAGAGGUGGCCCCCCAAAAAGCAAAAAGGGGAGUGGAACCCAGCUGUCUGCCUUCUGGGUUGGAGCUUGGAGAUAGGAGAGAAGGUCUGAUCUGUUGACUACUUUUCACCCCGACCUGGUCUUCCUGGGGCCUGCUCGUAUGUUCCCGGCAGCUUUCUGGUAAACUUACAGUACCGCCGUCUCUACCGAAGCAUGAACUCCCAGUAUCUGAAGCUGCUUAGCUCACAGAAAUACCAGAUCCUGUUAUAUAAUGGAGAUGUAGACAUGGCCUGCAAUUUCAUGGGGGAUGAGUGGU